This 331-nucleotide ribosomal RNA is filed under the name Boana multifasciata (many-banded treefrog). Its description in RNAcentral is "partial 12S ribosomal RNA". Lineage: Eukaryota; Metazoa; Chordata; Amphibia; Anura; Hylidae. The record is from RNAcentral.
UGAAGUCAGUUUUUACUUAACUUAUACAUGCAAGUCUCCGCACCCCUGUGAGAACGCCCUUAUAUUUCCUAAUUGGAAAAAGGAGCUGGUAUCAGGCACAAUAAUUAGCCCAAGACACCUAGCCACGCCACACCCACAAGGGAACUCAGCAGUAAUUAACAUUGAAUAUAAGCGCCAGCUUGAUUCAGCCAAAGUAAGAAGGGCAGGCAAACAUGGUGCCAGCCGCCGCGGUUACACCAUGAGGCCCAAAUUGACCUCUUUCGGCGUAAAGAGUGAUUAAAGUGAUCCUAUACUGUAGUUAAGCUAGAAUAAAGUCGUGACAAGCUUAUAU